UACGUAGGGGGCAAGCGUUGUCCGGAUUUAUUGGGCGUAAAGAGCGUGUAGGCGGCCAGGUAGGUCAGCUGUGAAAACUCGAGGCUCAACCUCGAGACGUCGGUUGAAACCACCUGGCUAGAGUCCGGAAGAGGAGAGUGGAAUUCCUGGUGUAGCGGUGAAAUGCGCAGAUAUCAGGAAGAACACCCGUGGCGAAGGCGGCUCUCUGGGACGGUACUGACGCUGAGGCACGAAAGCGUGGGGAGCAAACAGG
RNAcentral lists this ribosomal RNA (253 nucleotides) under uncultured bacterium. Its description in RNAcentral is "partial 16S ribosomal RNA". It matches the Rfam family "Bacterial small subunit ribosomal RNA", at positions 524 to 776 of the family's 1533-position model. The record is from RNAcentral.